This 646-nucleotide long non-coding RNA is filed under the name Anas platyrhynchos platyrhynchos (common mallard). RNAcentral describes it as "lncRNA (ENSAPLG00000022087.1)". The record is from RNAcentral. Lineage: Eukaryota; Metazoa; Chordata; Aves; Anseriformes; Anatidae.
GUUUUCUCAUGGCAUGCUCAUGCAGUUGAUAAUGAAAUGCCGAGUUUUUUAUAACUAGGUUGUCGGCAGGAAUCCAGCUCAGGUUACGAGUGACCGACAGUUGCUACCAUCUACUGGCUGUUUGCAAUCCUGUGUGAAACAACAGGGCAUUGAGACUCCUUCCUGGUCCUGUCGGCCCACGUUGUGGACAAAUGGCUUCUGUCUGGCUGGCAAUCUGACCAAAAGCUUGUUGGGAUUGGCACCCGACAAGGGGGGUAACAUUUUCACAAGUCCUUUGAGCGGGUCUUUGGCUCCUGUAUUGUAACUAAGGUGUGCAGACCUGCUGUUGAAUGGUGGAUGGAUUUGAUCCUGUGCCUGUUCUGACUACGUCUAUCUGAUCAGUAAGAUGGGAUUCAGCUCCAGCUAAAGAUGACUAACUGGCACCUUAAACUUAACUCCUUGUAUGUGUGUAACUGAAAUAAGCCAAGAUCUCCACCAACCAUAUGUGGAACUGAUAUAUACAGGACACAGUCAGACACCUGAGGCUUUCUUGUUUCUCACUGCUCAUGUGUGCAGACCCAUCUGCCUCAUGGUGAUGGCAGCAGGGCUGGAGGAGGUGAUGAGGACCUCUGGGCAGGGCUGUGCAGAAGACAUCUGUGGCUGCUAG